AGUUAUAUGUCCAUGCUCUAACUGCCAAGACGGCUUGGAAAAAGAACAGCUCACUUUUUUUUGCCUCUGUUAUAUUGGGUGGGCUCAGUCAGCCAAGAAGAAGGGUGGGGGAAGGAAUGGUGGGGAGAUAGGCAACCAAAAAGUAUCUGCCUCAGAAGGGAAUUAACAUUCUCUGAGCAUGGUUUCUAACCCCAGCUGUCCCCGAAAUUUCCAGCUUCCCCUUUAAUGUCUAACUAACGAUCAGACCCCAUGACAUGAACAAGACUAAACUUUAUCAGGUUCUUUCUGCGGAUAUUACUCAGAAUCUCUGGGGGAUGUUCACAUGUCCCAUGGACCAUCCCUGUGGUUGCUUGGCAACCACAGUGAGCUGUCUCUCCCAGGACUUCUACAGCCCUUGUCUGCCUUCUCUUAACUGCCUGCCACAGGGUGCCACUCCUGUCCCCAACACCAUCUGAAUCUGGAGGCACUACCCAGCCCUCUUCCUUAUCAGCCCCCUAAAACAUGGCUGAGUUAACCAGAAAACAGACUCAAUUACUGUAAAUGAGACUCCCACAAACAGUGGCUUAAACAAAGCAGAAGUUUAUUUUUAACAGUAAGAAUGUCUGUAAGCAACCAUGAUGACUAGACCUCCUGUGACCGUGUUGUGGGAGGCAGUCUACUUGCCACGGAGGGGGCCUUCCUGCCUCUCCCUCUAGACUGUGGACCCUUACUCUCCCUUGCCUACGCCAGAUGUGGGCAGUGGGGAGAUCCUGGUUCUUCGAAGGAAAGCUCCACCCACUGUUCCCCAUGGUUCAGACAAAAUGAUUGGCUUAGAGAUGGCAUAUGAGACUCAAGUGGACCCAUGAGAUUCAAGGCCAAGACUGGAGCUGGGACCACAGGGGAAGAAAAGCACUAUUUCUGCCAGGGUUGCUGAGUCGGCAAGAAGUGAGCCUGGAGCUGCCAGGGCCAUCCCGGGUACCUGGCGAGGAGACCGGAGCUAACACGGAGGGAAGCACUGAGACAGCAGGAGUGGAAGAGCGUCACAGCGGCGAGGUUUGAGCCCCUGGACGCGGCUGCGCCUGAAGCCACUUUUGGACUUUCCAGCUUCAUGCGCCAGUGAAUUCCCCACUUUGUGAAAGCUUACUUUCAGUUGAGCUUUUCUCGCUGGAAAGCAUCCAGGCUGCCACUAGAAGGUUAAGCAACUUGCCCAAAGCCUGAAAGGCAGCAAGCAGCAGACCUAGGGUUUAGAAGCUUCUAACCAACUGCAGUCAGACCAACAUUCUAUAUUGGGGUAUUCACUGAUUUCACCUCUUUUUACUCGUUUUCUCAUCACAAAAUGGCAUCACACCAGACUUUUAGGACUGUUGGAAAAUACAAAAUGCGAGAUCAGGACCCCCCUGGCAGUCAGUGGUUAAGACUCCACACUUCCUCUGCAGGGGGUGCAGGCUCAAACGCUGGUCAGAGAACUAAGAUGCUAUGUGCCACACAGCCAAAAAAACAAUUCUUUUUUUUUUUUUUUAAGAAAAAGCCAAAAUAAACUAUUUUUAAAAAAUAAAAUGCAACAUCACAGCUAGCAUGUCUGUAACCCAUGCUGAAGCUCUCUCUACACAUCCAGUUUCCGUGCUGCGGGCCUGGGUUUUGUCCCGAGUCAGUUAUCCCAUCUCAGGGAUGGAGAUAACUCAUCUCAGUUAUCCCAUCUCAGGGAUGUGUUUGGCUGUCACCAAAUCAGCCAACUGGUCCAGAUGCCCAAACCUCUUCAGGAGAGCAGCUGUGAAUCUCAGAGGGAAGGGCCGUGUCUCUUCUUGGCUGUGUAUCCUCACUGGCAGACAGAAGGAGUUGGGGGCCCGCAAGGAUUCUAGGGGUCCGAGUCUAUGAGGUAGAAAAAAGCCCUGUUGUCUUGAUUUCUGGAACCUUCCAAGGUCUGGUGGGCCCAUCUGGGAAUGACCUGUAGCUCAAGGAAGACAACACUAAAUCAGAUCGACUUUGUCUCUUUUCUUCAUGCAGUUUACAUGCAGUGGUAGACGAGAACACAGAAAAAUGUAUGAGAUAACACCACGUGGUAACAGUAGGGAGAAAAUAUGUCCUCAAAGGCGGAUUCGGGGCACUGUUUACUC
Molecule: long non-coding RNA, 2093 nt
Organism: Bos taurus (domestic cattle)
Lineage: Eukaryota; Metazoa; Chordata; Mammalia; Artiodactyla; Bovidae
Source: Ensembl